CAUUGGUCCCCUCGCAAUGAACUGUUGUUUACUCCGUCAGGCCCGGAAGGGAGCAGCGGCAGCAGCAAACUCAUGUGCCGGGGUGUGGCUGGUGUGG
Molecule: signal recognition particle RNA, 97 nt
Filed under: Gammaproteobacteria bacterium
Lineage: Bacteria; Pseudomonadati; Pseudomonadota; Gammaproteobacteria
Also listed under: 1 other name
Description: signal recognition particle sRNA small type
Rfam family: Bacterial small signal recognition particle RNA
About the family: The signal recognition particle (SRP) is a universally conserved ribonucleoprotein involved in the co-translational targeting of proteins to membranes. Archaeal SRP consists of a 7S RNA and homologues of the eukaryotic SRP19 and SRP54 proteins.
Source: RNAcentral